This 2681-nucleotide long non-coding RNA is filed under the name Gallus gallus (chicken). RNAcentral describes it as "lncRNA (ENSGALG00010025981.1)". Lineage: Eukaryota; Metazoa; Chordata; Aves; Galliformes; Phasianidae. The record is from RNAcentral.
CAGGAGCUGGAUUAGUCCUUACCUACUUGCAGUCCUCAUCUGUGUUUAGAUGAGACAGUGAUUAAAAUUUUCUCAGACAUGUCUGUACAGGAGGACAGCUGAAAAUUUAAGACCAAUUUCCUAAAAUUCAUUGACAGCUAGGAGAAGUGGCUGACAUACCAGAAGGCUGUGCUGCAUUUCAGCAAGACCUGGACAGGCUGGAGAAUUAGGUGGAGAGGAAUGUGAUGAGAUUCAACAAGGGCAAGUGUAGUGUCCUUCACCUGGGAACAAAUAACUGCACACAUCAGCACAGGUCAGGGGCUGACCUGGUGGAAAGGAGCUCUGCAGAGAAGGACCUGGGUGUGUUGGUGGACAACAGGAUGACCAUGAGCUAGCAGUGGCCAAGAUGUCACAUUUUCUUACCUGGAGGACGGAACCACUGAAGUUGCUGGUGAAGUGACCAUCAAUGAAAGUAGAGGCAGGAGGAGCAAAUAUAAACAUGAUGUACAAACUGAAGAAACCUGGUCAUCAGCUGGCAAUUUCAGCUCAAAGGAACAUCUGAUUCCUAAAGUUACAGAACUUGUCUGAAAGAUUUGUUUGAAAAAGAGAAUGAACUACUCAAUGUCCCAGGUACCUGGGGGAUCCAAAACAUGGAGUGCAGCUCCCCAGGGAGCCCACAUGGAGCACUGGAAGAAUCAGUAACCUGAGGAGAGAAACUCACUGCACACAAUGAAUGAUAACCUAUACUCAACAGUGUGAAAGAGCAAGAGAAAAGAUGGGGUUCAAAGUGCAACUCUACAAGAAGGGCAAGCUUCCAGCCUGAUAUGGCAGCAAGACAUCUCUCACUCAGGAUCUGCAAAAGCAACCUUCCCUGGUGUCAGGAUAUGAACAACCUUUCCUCAGCAUACCCAGGGGCUACCCUGCUCUCCUCAGCCUUGCAUGCUUCUAGGUGUAGCCAAAACUCUGCUUUGUGUAAACAGUAUACGUCAUUCAGUGUGUAACGGCACUUGUGCUUUAGGGUAGUAUCUUGCCUAGCCUCCAUCUGAAGGUAUGAACCUCCUCUGUUCCUGUGCCACAUGUCCCAGCCUCAUUCAGGUGUUUCAUGUCCCACCCAACUUGUAGAAACAGCAAGUUACUUGGGAUAGAAAUAUACAUGUGUUCAAGCAACUACGCAGAAUCAGUAGAUAGUUGAAAACAGUAGCAGUAGUCUCUUUUUGCCUCAGCUCCCCAUCUUCAGAACGGUGGUUAAAAUGCAUUAGUUAAUUCUUGAGAACCAUGGAUACACAGCAGUAAAAGCCCUGCAGGAUCCCAAAGAAAGGUACAAGUAGAAUCAUAGAGUCACAGAAUUGCUCAGGUUGGAAAAGACCUUAAAGAUCAUCAAGUCCAACUACAACCGAACCAUACAAUGCUAACUCUAACAACCCUCCACUAAAUCAUGUCCCUAAGCACCACAUCCAAACGGUUUUUAAACACAUCCAAGGAUGGUGACUCAACCACCUCCCUGGGGAGCCUAUUCCAGUGCUUAACAACCCUUUCUGUAAGGAAGUUUUUUCUGAUAUCCAACCUAAACCUACCCUGGUGCAACUUGAGGCCAUUUCUCCUCAUCCUGUCACCUAUGAGAUCAACUCCACUCUUGCUGUACGCACCUUUCAGAUACUGGAAGAGAGCAAUAAGGUCUCCCCUCAGCCUCCUCUUUCCCAGACUAAACAGCCCUAGUUCCCUCAGUCGUUCCCCGUAGGGCAUAUUCUCCAAGCCCUUCACAAGCUUUAUGGCCCUUGUUUGGACCUGCUGCAGCACCUCAGUGUCCUUUCUGUAUUGAAGUGCCCAAAACUGAACACAGAACUCAAGGUGAGGCCUCACCAAUGCUGAGUACAGGGGCAGGAUUUCUUUCCUAGUCCUGCUCACCACACUAUUCCUGAUACAAGCUAGGAUGCCAUUGGCCUUCUUGGCCACCUGGGCACACUGCUGGCUCAUAUUCAGCUGACUAUCCAUCAGUACACCAAGGCCCCUUUCUGUCAGGCAGAUUUCCAGCCACUCACUCCCAAGCCUGUAGGGUUGCCUGGGAUUGUUGUGACCAAAAUGCAGGACCCAACACGUGGCCCUUUUGAAACUCAUACAGUUCACCUUGGCCCAUCAAUCCAGUCUAUCCAGGUCUCUCUGUAGUGCCUUUCUCCCCUCUGGCAGAUCAACACUCCCUCCCAACCUGAUGUCAUCUGCAAACUUACUGAGGGUGCACUCAAUCUCCUCAUCAAGAUCAUUAAUAAAGAUGUUAAAUAGAAGCGGCCCCAGUAAAUUCUGUAUCUAUUCUAAGUGUUAUAUGAUAUACGUUAAAUAAUAACUUGAUCUGCACAUUGAGUGGAGGCUGAAAGGGAUCCCUGAGAAGCAGCUCACUCACUGAAAAAGGCAGGAUUCUGAGAGAAGAGGAAGGUGUGAUCAUCUAACUAAGAAACGUAUAAUUAUCUCUACACAAAUUGGGGCUGAACUUCAAGCUUAAAAGUAAUCUCAGUUCUAGUAUCUCUUAACUUUUCCUUGCAUAAUUUUGCAGCUUCAGUGUCUUUUGCAAAACGUGUUUCAGUUCCCUCCUGAGAGUAAGACCUGAACAUACUGGGGGGUAGCACUUUUGUCCCACACAGCCACUCCAACUACAAUGUGUGGGAAGCAGAGCCUGGUUCUCCAGUGCUUCAGCUCAGAAACCUUCCACU